UACAGAGGGUGCGAGCGUUAAUCGGAAUUACUGGGCGUAAAGGGCACGUAGGUGGAUAAAUAAGUCAGAUGUGAAAUACCUGGGCUCAACCUGGGAAGUGCAUAUGAUACUGUUUAUCUAGAGUAUGGUAGAGGAAAGGGGAAUUCACAGUGUAGCGGUGAAAUGCGUAGAUAUUGUGAGGAACAUCAGUGGCGAAGGCGCCUUUCUGGACUAAUACUGACACUGAGGUGCGAAAGCGUGGGUAGCGAAC
Molecule: ribosomal RNA, 250 nt
Filed under: uncultured bacterium
Lineage: Bacteria
Description: partial 16S ribosomal RNA
Rfam family: Bacterial small subunit ribosomal RNA
Source: RNAcentral